GAACGCACAUUGCGCCCGCCAGUAUUCUGGCGGGCAUGCCUGUUCGAGCGUCAUUUCAACCAUCAAGCCCCAGGCUUGUGUUGGGGACCUGCGGCUGCCGCAGGCCCUGAAAACCAGUGGCGGGCUCGCUGUCACACCGGGCGUAGUAGAUUUUAUCUCGCUCAGGGCGUGCUGCGGGUUCCGGCCGUUAAAAAGCCUUUUUUACCCAAGGUUGACCUCGGAUCAGGUAGGAAUACCCGCUGAACUUAAG
This 250-nucleotide unclassified non-coding RNA is filed under the name uncultured Chaetomiaceae. RNAcentral's name for it is "sequence contains 5.8S rRNA gene". The stretch from base 1 to 53 matches the Rfam family "5.8S ribosomal RNA", at positions 102 to 154 of the family's 154-position model. The record is from RNAcentral. Lineage: Eukaryota; Fungi; Ascomycota; Sordariomycetes; Sordariales.